CUAAGGGAGCGGCGGUGAAGUGCGCGCCGCGGCGGACCUUGUCGAGCAGCGGCAAAAACCUCAGCGAUCGGGAUGCGCACCAUUUUACUGCAACAUUUAAAGGAUCAAAAGUGAGGCAAAAAUCCACGAUGAACAAAACCCCAGAGUCUCAACGAAGACGGGCUGUUGAGUUCAUGUGCCCAUCCUCCGGGGCUCCAGAUUCCGGAGGGUGCACUGUGUGUGCGGGGGCGUGCGCGUUUCCUUUGGCCUCGGGCGCCUUCUGCGCGCUGCUCAGCAGUGUCCAUCCACAGUGAAAAGGGGCCUCUGCAUUAUCCUCAGAGCAGGACUGGGGCUCUGACGUGCGCAGUUACAGCCUUUGAAAUGCCCCCUCCUCCUGAAAAGAAAAGAGCAGCUUCCUCCCGAGAAACUUCCAGAAACAGCUGACCACAUCGUGGAAGUUAUAAAUCAGGUGUGGUGAUGUCUCCAAACUUCCUAGAGCCAAGUCCAGCUGAGUAAACUCAACGCUGCGGCGGAUGGCAGAAUCCUGAUGUGCCGGGAAAUUCUGAAAAGACCUCACACUGGUAGGUCUCGCUGCAGAGAACUGACAGGCACAGCUGGGUCACAAUUGCGACCUGCAAGUGUGCGGGGAACCUGCAUUAGCCUCGUCCUCCGACGCUGAUUCUGCCAUGACUGACCCACCCCGUGCCUCUGUCCACUGCACCUGCUGCUGUGGUUAGGACCACCGACCCUGCAGCUUGCGUGGGGAGCCAGAGAUUGUUGCUGCUGGUGAUCUGAAAUCAUGAAGGUGCACUCAGAGAGAAUCUUGGACAUAAGUCAGGAUUUCAUCUGAUAUGCCAACAGAGAAAAUCCUCAUCGAAAGCCAUCUCUGGUUAUGUCUUCCUGACGAAGAGGAUGUGGACCUUGGGCGAGGAAAGGUGUUCUCCGAAAUAACAUUCGGCACCGCACUGGACGGUCAAUCAGGUCUAACAACAACUUCAUUAUUCCCCUUAACGCUUUUCAGAUUUUCAACGAUGAAUGUGCGAGCGAAGGGCUUUCUUGUAUUCCUGUUAUGGCUUUCUUUGUCAUUUCCAAGAAACUUUGGCCUGUUCCCAAGCCAACAAAGGU
Non-coding RNA from Leptonychotes weddellii (Weddell seal), 1104 nucleotides. NCBI's taxonomy places the organism in Eukaryota, Metazoa, Chordata, Mammalia, Carnivora, Phocidae. The record is from RefSeq and is a predicted model, not a curated record.